Non-coding RNA from Penaeus vannamei (Pacific white shrimp), 673 nucleotides. NCBI's taxonomy places the organism in Eukaryota, Metazoa, Arthropoda, Malacostraca, Decapoda, Penaeidae. The record is from RefSeq and is a predicted model, not a curated record.
ACACCGAGUGCUCACACCACACCACUGCCUGUCCGUGAAUCCCUCCUCCAUCCUAGAGUUAAGCCCUUUUCCCAUUCCUUCCCCUCUUUCCACCUCUCUUUCCUUUUUUCUUUGCUUGUUCCCUUCCCACUCCUGUCCCCUAGGCCUUUUCUGUGGCUUCAGAGCCAUUGCGGUGUUAUUAUUUCUGUGUCUUGCAUCCUUAAGGAGCUUACUCAGAACUGAAAAUGAGGAUAUUUAAUAAUUUGGAAAAAAUUCAGGGAAGAUAUGGAUAAGAAAGAUCAAGUUAACAGGAUUGGAUUGAGAGACGUGAUCCCAUUGUAGAGUACAGUAUUUCCUCUUUAGAUUCUUAAGUAACUGUUCUUUGUGUGCUGUUUGUGAAUCAUGACAUGGAAAAGGAAUGGCGGCAUUGGUUUUGUUACUGUUGUGGUUUUAGAAAGUGGAAAAGAAAGGCAUGAUUUUUUCUUCCUGAAGAAAGAAUGAUGAAAUGAACUAAUUGUUAAAUAUACAAUGUAUAUAGAGAUGUGGGAAUCAAGAUAAAAUAAAGAAAAAUAAGAUACAAAAGCAAAAAACAUAAACAAAAAACAGAAGUGAGACAAAAGUGUACAUAGAAUGACAACAGACAGAUUAAGAAGGCAAAAAAUAUAAUAAUUAUAACAAAGAUAAAAAAAAAAAA